Long non-coding RNA from Cylas formicarius (sweet potato weevil), 608 nucleotides. RefSeq lists it as uncharacterized. The transcript is spliced from 3 exons. NCBI's taxonomy places the organism in Eukaryota, Metazoa, Arthropoda, Insecta, Coleoptera, Brentidae. The record is from RefSeq and is a predicted model, not a curated record.
UUCGGCUGUAUCCUGGCCUGGGGGCGAUCUGAAACAUAAAGAAAACAAGUUGAGGAACGUUUUACUUUUACUCGCGGCUUCAGUUUGAAAGGUCGUCUUGUUUGUCUAACUUGAGAGCUUAUUUAAGAAAAUUUCUUUCAGAUAAACUCGACGCAAUUGGUGUGAGAUUAAAUUUGCAAGAUAUGUUAAAUGUAUUGCAUAUCUAGUACUUCUGUUUUUUAUGGUUAAUUGCUCUGUUGACGGGUAAUGAUAAAGCGUAUGCAUUAAUUAUAGACGAGACUAGUCGUUACCGAAUUACACAAAAGUACAAAUUAGUGAGUGUUAUAAAUAAAUCUAACCCCAAUCCGAAUCCAAGCUGUUGAUAAAAAUAUGCAAUGAAUCUAUCGGAACUCAUAAAGGCCUAAAGUUAAGUUAAAAGUUAAAGCCUAAGCCGGAAGAGGCAAUUUUAAUAGCAAAUGAACUGCUAAUUAUUUCCUAAAAGUAAUAUCUAACUGUGAUAUUAGUAAGUAAAUACCUAAAUCCCGGGAUCCGAUAUUUUUAUUUUUAAAGUUCUUUGUUUACCUCUUUUAUGCUUAUUUGUAUUUUGGAGUUUGAAUAAAUAAAUUAUU